This 1417-nucleotide ribosomal RNA is filed under the name Streptococcus sp. S6. RNAcentral describes it as "bacterial SSU rRNA". It matches the Rfam family "Bacterial small subunit ribosomal RNA". The record is from RNAcentral. Lineage: Bacteria; Bacillati; Bacillota; Bacilli; Lactobacillales; Streptococcaceae.
AGAGUUUGAUCCUGGCUGAGGACGAACGCUGGCGGCGUGCCUAAUACAUGCAAGUGGAACGCAUUUAUAACGACCGUAGCUUGCUACAACUGCUAUAAAUGAGUCGCGAACGGGUGAGUAACGCGUAGGUAACCUACCUUUAAGCGGGGGAUAACUAUUGGAAACGAUAGCUAAUACCGCAUAAAAUGAGCUAACCCAUGUUAGCUUUUUAAAAGGUGCAACAGCAUCACUUAAAGAUGGACCUGCGUUGUAUUAGCUAGUUGGUAAGGUAACGGCUUACCAAGGCUUCGAUACAUAGCCGACCUGAGAGGGUGAUCGGCCACACUGGGACUGAGACACGGCCCAGACUCCUACGGGAGGCAGCAGUAGGGAAUCUUCGGCAAUGGGGGGAACCCUGACCGAGCAACGCCGCGUGAGUGAAGAAGGUUUUCGGAUCGUAAAGCUCUGUUAUAAGCGAAGAACAGGAGUAAGAGUGGAAAGUUUACUCUAUGACGGUAGCUUAUCAGAAAGGGACGGCUAACUACGUGCCAGCAGCCGCGGUAAUACGUAGGUCCCGAGCGUUGUCCGGAUUUAUGGGGCGUAAAGCGAGCGCAGGUGGGUUAAUAAGUCUGAAGUAAAAGGCAGUGGCUCAAACAUUGUACGCUUGGGAAACUGUUAAACUUGAAGUGCAAAAGGGGAGAGUGGAAUUCCAUGUGUAGCGGUGAAAUGCGUAGAUAUAUGGAGGAACACCGGUGGCGAAAGCGGCUCUCUGGUCUGUAACUGACACUGAGGCUCGAAAGCGUGGGUAGCGAACAGAAUUAGAUACCCUGGUAGUCCAACGCCGUAAACGAUGAGUGCUAGGUGUUGGGUCCUUUCCGGGACUCAGUGCCGCAGCUAACGCAUUAAGCACUCCGCCUGGGGAGUACGACCGCAAGGUUGAAACUCAAAGGAAUUGACGGGGGCCCGCACAGGCGGUGGAGCAUGUGGUUUAAUUCGAAGCAACGCGAAGAACCUUACCAGGUCUUGACAUCCCGGUGCCGGUUCUAGAGAUAGAACUUUUCUUAGGAACACUGGAGACAGGUGGUGCAUGGUUGUCGUCAGCUCGUGUCGUGAGAUGUUGGGUUAAGUCCCGCAACGAGCGCAACCCCUAUUGUUAGUUGCCAUCAUUAAGUUGGGCACUCUAGCGAGACUGCCGGUAAUAAACCGGAGGAAGGUGGGGAUGACGUCAAAUCAUCAUGCCCCUUAUGACCUGGGCUACACACGUGCUACAAUGGUCGGUACAACGAGUUGCGAGCUGGUGACAGUAAGCUAAUCUCUUAAAGCCGAUCUCAGUUCGGAUUGUAGGCUGCAACUCGCCUACAUGAAGUCGGAAUCGCUAGUAAUCGCGGAUCAGCACGCCGCGGUGAAUACGUUCCCGGGCCUUGUACACACCGCCCGU